CAUUACGCAAGUAAGUAAGAUCCCUCAAAGACGAUGAGGUAGAUAGGUUCGGGGUGGAAGCGUGGCGACACGUGCAGCUGACGAAUACUAAUCGAUCGAGGACUUAACCAAAUA
This 114-nucleotide ribosomal RNA is filed under the name Psychrobacillus vulpis. Its description in RNAcentral is "Psychrobacillus sp. Z8 partial 23S ribosomal RNA". It matches the Rfam family "Bacterial large subunit ribosomal RNA", at positions 2815 to 2925 of the family's 2925-position model. Lineage: Bacteria; Bacillati; Bacillota; Bacilli; Caryophanales; Bacillaceae. The record is from RNAcentral.